CUGGCGGCAGGUCUAACACAUGCAAGAAGAACGCCCGGGGCAACCCGGGAGUGGCAGACGGGUGAUUUACCCGUGGGAACGUGCCCUUCGGUUCGGAAUAACUCAGGGAAACUUGGGCUAAUACCGGAUACGUCCGCGAGGAGAAAGAUUCAUCGCCGAAGGAUCGGCCCGCGUCCGAUUAGCUAGUUGGUGGGGUAAUGGCCCACCAAGGCGACGAUCGGUAGCUGGUCUGAGAGGAUGAUCAGCCACACUGGGACUGAGACACGGCUCAGACUCCUACGGGAGGCAGCAGUGGG
This 296-nucleotide ribosomal RNA is filed under the name uncultured Alphaproteobacteria bacterium. RNAcentral's name for it is "partial 16S ribosomal RNA". It matches the Rfam family "Bacterial small subunit ribosomal RNA", at positions 36 to 358 of the family's 1533-position model. The record is from RNAcentral. Lineage: Bacteria; Pseudomonadati; Pseudomonadota; Alphaproteobacteria.